UACGGGCAGACUAGAGUGUGGUAGGGGAGACUGGAAUUCCUGGUGUAGCGGUGGAAUGCGCAGAUAUCAGGAGGAACACCGAUGGCGAAGGCAGGUCUCUGGGCCAUUACUGACACUGAGAAGCGAAAGCAUGGGGAGCGAACAGGAUUAGAUACCCUGGUAGUCCAUGCCGUAAACGUUGGGAACUAGGUGUGGGUCUCAUUCCACGAGAUCCGUGCCGCAGCUAACGCAUUAAGUUCCCCGCCUGGGGAGUACGGCCGCAAGGCUAAAACUCAAAGGAAUUGACGGGGGCCCGCACAAGCGGCGGAGCAUGCGGAUUAAUUCGAUGCAACGCGAAGAACCUUACCAAGGCUUGACAUACACCGGAAUCACUCAGAGAUGGGUGCGUCUUCGGACUGGUGUACAGGUGGUGCAUGGUUGUCGUCAGCUCGUGUCGUGAGAUGUUGGGUUAAGUCCCGCAACGAGCGCAACCCUCGUUCUAUGUUGCCAGCACGUGAUGGUGGGGACUCAUAGGAGACUGCCGGGGUCAACUCGGAGGAAGGUGGGGAUGACGUCAAAUCAUCAUGCCCCUUAUGUCUUGGGCUUCACGCAUGCUACAAUGGCCGGUACAAAGGGCUGCGAUACCGCGAGGUGGAGCGAAUCCCAAAAAACCGGUCUCAGUUCGGAUUGGGGUCUGCAACUCGACCCCAUGAAGUCGGAGUCGCUAGUAAUCGCAGAUCAGCAACGCUGCGGUGAAUACGUUCCCGGGCCUUGUACACACCGCCCGUCAAGUCACGAAAG
RNAcentral lists this ribosomal RNA (780 nucleotides) under Terrabacter sp. Its description in RNAcentral is "bacterial SSU rRNA". It matches the Rfam family "Bacterial small subunit ribosomal RNA", at positions 631 to 1410 of the family's 1533-position model. The record is from RNAcentral. Lineage: Bacteria; Bacillati; Actinomycetota; Actinomycetes; Micrococcales; Intrasporangiaceae.